This is a long non-coding RNA of Epinephelus moara (kelp grouper), 1575 nucleotides long. RefSeq lists it as uncharacterized. The record is from RefSeq and is a predicted model, not a curated record. The transcript is spliced from 3 exons. Lineage: Eukaryota; Metazoa; Chordata; Actinopteri; Perciformes; Serranidae.
GGUGGAGAUAAGCAGAAACCAUACUGAGAGGAAGAAGGCAGGCAAACUACACCAAUUUUCCAGAUGAUAGAUAGCUUCGGGGACUUCAAGGCUCCUCUUCUCAUAAAUCAUUGUCUGAGGGGGAGACGCAAGAGAGCUGAGGGAACAUGGUGGUCAUGCGUUGUGGAUGAGCUGAGACACGGCCUCACGUGUCUGCGGGGUCUGCUGCCUCCUCCGCUCCAAUAAUAGCCUCGCUCCCCUGGCACCGUGCCCAGCGCCAGCUAACAGCACGACACCUGACCGCCGCCUCACAUGCAUGGACUCCUGACACGGUUACUGCCCGAACCAAAUCCGCAGUCUCGUGUUGAAAUACAUAACAAUCUCAAGUCAGAUCUGUGUUUACAAACACACGCUGACUGGGAAGCUCCCCGGGCAUGAGGUGGCAACAAGUCUCAGCCACUGCUGUUCGUGCGCCACCAACAGUUGGAGAAUGUGAGUCACGUUUUUGCAAAGGAAAAGCCUCAACUGUAUGGACCGGACUCGUGUAAUGUUACACUAACAACUCAGUGUACAGUAGAGAGACCUUCAGAAUGACAAACUGCAUGCAAAUCAAGUUCAAAAUAAUCUAAACAAAUAUAGGUCCAAUUUAAAACUCCAUUCAUGAUUGGCUUGCACAUGCAACUGAGUGAAUUUCCAACAUCCACAACUUGUGCCAUGGUGCUUCAACCAACUCAGCCUUGUAUAUGGAAAUCAUGCAUUAGAUGCAGUCGGCCUGUUGCCCUUUGCUGCACAAUGUAUUUGUUUUAGCUCCACUGUUUUGAUAAUCCCCCAGGCAGCACGUGUUGCCGGUUUGUUGACUCAUGCCAGAGCCAUAGACAGACCCAACAGACGGGCAGGCCUGAGCCUCACCUCUUCCUGAGCUUACAUGCAGACAGCCACAGCCCAGCCCCCGCUCCACCCAAACACAUUGCAUGUCCACCUGAAGGCUCACAUGUACAGUAAGUGUUUAUGAAUGACCCCUAGAGCCGCUGUGCUGUAAACACUGUCAAUUAGCAAUCCCUUUUACAGUCUGCUUUCAUGCAGUGCAGGAAGGAAACUAUAAAACCUGCAUGCAUCAUGUGUCAUAGUGGAAAGGUUAAUACAAUUUAAAUGUAAACUUUGCACGCUCCCUUCUUCUUCUUGCCCUAUUGUGAUUACAGAUUAGCGCUACAGAAGGCAGCACUUGUCAUUUGCACUCAUAUCUCUAAGUAUCCACAAUACAAAGAAUAAAAACAGCAGUGCUAUUUUUAUUCUCUGCAUGGGUAGCUUGUAAUAUCAGUUUCCAAAUUGAACUGUUGUGGAGGCAUUCCCUUACUUCACAUUACAUGAAAUUCCUUCCUCAAUGCCCAUGUUGAGCUUAGCCUACCCGUGCAAACACUAAUCUGCCUGGGACUGGAGGCAGGCAGAGAAACGUGAGCAGUGAGCUUCACAGGCGCAGCAGCAGCAGCUCCUCUCUGUUUGUCUCUCGUCCUUUAUCUCUUACUUUCACUUGUUCGGCUUAUAAUGCAGGGGCAUGGAGAGCCAGCAACACAGGAGAGAUAGCUUACAGUUAAGGUG